UGUCCCAUGGCUUAGUUGGUUACGGCGUCCGACUGUUAUUCUGAACAGUAGCAUCGGAAGAUCGAGAGUUCGAGUCUCUCUGGGACAG
RNAcentral lists this transfer RNA (88 nucleotides) under Laccaria amethystina LaAM-08-1. It matches the Rfam family "tRNA". Rfam says of the family: Transfer RNA (tRNA) molecules are approximately 80 nucleotides in length. Their secondary structure includes four short double-helical elements and three loops (D, anti-codon, and T loops). Further hydrogen bonds mediate the characteristic L-shaped molecular structure. tRNAs have two regions of fundamental functional importance: the anti-codon, which is responsible for specific mRNA codon recognition, and the 3' end, to which the tRNAs corresponding amino acid is attached (by aminoacyl-tRNA synthetases). tRNAs cope with the degeneracy of the genetic code in two manners: having more than one tRNA (with a specific anti-codon) for a particular amino acid; and 'wobble' base-pairing, i.e. permitting non-standard base-pairing at the 3rd anti-codon position. The record is from Rfam by way of RNAcentral. Lineage: Eukaryota; Fungi; Basidiomycota; Agaricomycetes; Agaricales; Hydnangiaceae.